This 440-nucleotide ribosomal RNA is filed under the name uncultured bacterium. RNAcentral describes it as "partial 16S ribosomal RNA". It matches the Rfam family "Bacterial small subunit ribosomal RNA", at positions 338 to 795 of the family's 1533-position model. The record is from RNAcentral.
CCUACGGGAGGCAGCAGUAGGGAAUAUUGCUCAAUGGGGGAAACCCUGAAGCAGCAACGCCGCGUGGAGGAUGAAGGUUUUCGGAUUGUAAACUCCUUUUGUUAGAGAAGAUAAUGACGGUAUCUAACGAAUAAGCACCGGCUAACUCCGUGCCAGCAGCCGCGGUAAUACGGAGGGUGCAAGCGUUACUCGGAAUCACUGGGCGUAAAGAGCGCGUAGGCGGGAUAGCAAGUCAGAUGUGAAAUCCUAUGGCUUAACCAUAGAACUGCAUUUGAAACUGUUAUUCUAGAGUAUGGGAGAGGUAGGUGGAAUUCUUGGUGUAGGGGUAAAAUCCGUAGAGAUCAAGAGGAAUACUCAUUGCGAAGGCGACCUGCUGGAACAUUACUGACGCUGAUGCACGAAAGCGUGGGGAGCAAACAGGAUUAGAUACCCCUGUAGUC